RNAcentral lists this ribosomal RNA (1490 nucleotides) under Salmonella enterica. RNAcentral describes it as "partial 23S ribosomal RNA". It matches the Rfam family "Bacterial large subunit ribosomal RNA", at positions 1292 to 2765 of the family's 2925-position model. The record is from RNAcentral. Lineage: Bacteria; Pseudomonadati; Pseudomonadota; Gammaproteobacteria; Enterobacterales; Enterobacteriaceae.
GAAUGCUGACAUAAGUAACGAUAAAGCGGGUGAAAAGCCCGCUCGCCGGAAGACCAAGGGUUCCUGUCCAACGUUAAUCGGGGCAGGGUGAGUCGACCCCUAAGGCGAGGCCGAAAGGCGUAGUCGAUGGGAAACGGGUUAAUAUUCCCGUACUUGGUGUUACUGCGAAGGGGGGACGGAGAAGGCUAUGUUGGCCGGGCGACGGUUGUCCCGGUUUAAGCGUGUAGGUGUGUGUUCCAGGUAAAUCCGGUUCACUUUAACACUGAGGCGUGACGACGAGGCACUACGGUGCUGAAGCAACAAAUGCCCUGCUUCCAGGAAAAGCCUCUAAGCAUCAGGUAACAUCAAAUCGUACCCCAAACCGACACAGGUGGUCAGGUAGAGAAUACCAAGGCGCUUGAGAGAACUCGGGUGAAGGAACUAGGCAAAAUGGUGCCGUAACUUCGGGAGAAGGCACGCUGACACGUAGGUGAAGUGAUUUACUCAUGGAGCUGAAGUCAGUCGAAGAUACCAGCUGGCUGCAACUGUUUAUUAAAAACACAGCACUGUGCAAACACGAAAGUGGACGUAUACGGUGUGACGCCUGCCCGGUGCCGGAAGGUUAAUUGAUGGGGUCAGCGCAAGCGAAGCUCCUGAUCGAAGCCCCGGUAAACGGCGGCCGUAACUAUAACGGUCCUAAGGUAGCGAAAUUCCUUGUCGGGUAAGUUCCGACCUGCACGAAUGGCGUAAUGAUGGCCAGGCUGUCUCCACCCGAGACUCAGUGAAAUUGAACUCGCUGUGAAGAUGCAGUGUACCCGCGGCAAGACGGAAAGACCCCGUGAACCUUUACUAUAGCUUGACACUGAACAUUGAGCCUUGAUGUGUAGGAUAGGUGGGAGGCUUUGAAGUGUGGACGCCAGUCUGCAUGGAGCCGACCUUGAAAUACCACCCUUUAAUGUUUGAUGUUCUAACGUGGACCCGUGAUCCGGGUUGCGGACAGUGUCUGGUGGGUAGUUUGACUGGGGCGGUCUCCUCCUAAAGAGUAACGGAGGAGCACGAAGGUUGGCUAAUCCUGGUCGGACAUCAGGAGGUUAGUGCAAUGGCAUAAGCCAGCUUGACUGCGAGCGUGACGGCGCGAGCAGGUGCGAAAGCAGGUCAUAGUGAUCCGGUGGUUCUGAAUGGAAGGGCCAUCGCUCAACGGAUAAAAGGUACUCCGGGGAUAACAGGCUGAUACCGCCCAAGAGUUCAUAUCGACGGCGGUGUUUGGCACCUCGAUGUCGGCUCAUCACAUCCUGGGGCUGAAGUAGGUCCCAAGGGUAUGGCUGUUCGCCAUUUAAAGUGGUACGCGAGCUGGGUUUAGAACGUCGUGAGACAGUUCGGUCCCUAUCUGCCGUGGGCGCUGGAGAACUGAGGGGGGCUGCUCCUAGUACGAGAGGACCGGAGUGGACGCAUCACUGGUGUUCGGGUUGUCAUGCCAAUGGCACUGCCCGGUAGCUAAAUGCGGAAGAGAU